Vulpes vulpes (red fox) is the source of this 114-nucleotide ribosomal RNA. Lineage: Eukaryota; Metazoa; Chordata; Mammalia; Carnivora; Canidae. The record is from Ensembl.
GUCUGUGGCCAUACCACCUUGAAGGUGCCCAAUCUCAUCUGAUCUCGGAAGCUAGGCAGAGUCAGGCCUGGUUAGUACUUGGAAGGAAGAAUGAGGAGGGAGAAAUUGUAGAAA